RNAcentral lists this RNase P RNA (335 nucleotides) under uncultured Bulleidia sp. RNAcentral describes it as "Bacterial RNase P class B". It matches the Rfam family "Bacterial RNase P class B". Rfam says of the family: Ribonuclease P (RNase P) is a ubiquitous endoribonuclease, found in archaea, bacteria and eukarya as well as chloroplasts and mitochondria. Its best characterised activity is the generation of mature 5'-ends of tRNAs by cleaving the 5'-leader elements of precursor-tRNAs. Cellular RNase Ps are ribonucleoproteins. The record is from RNAcentral. Lineage: Bacteria; Bacillati; Bacillota; Erysipelotrichia; Erysipelotrichales; Erysipelotrichaceae.
UCGGGCAGCCGCUGGUCUUAUGAGCCAGAGGAAAGUCCAUGCUCGCACCGUCUGAGAUGAUGGUAGUGAUUGUGCUGAUCCAAUCAAUAAGGUCAGGCAGUGUAACAGCUGACGGCGAAGAGAAGCCUAAAGACAUCUGUCCAUGGCGGAUCUUCUGAAAGUGCCACAGUGACGGAGCUGACAGGAAACUGUUCAGGUGGAACGAGGUAAACCCCGCAAGCGAGAAAUCCAAAUUUGGUAGGAGAACUUUCGUGAGCGAAAUGAAGCAGGCGAAGGGUGCGAGAGCACAGAUAAAUGGCUGCCGCCCGGCAACGGGCACAGAACAUGGCUUACAG